AUUGAACGCUGGCGGCAUGCUUUACACAUGCAAGUCGAACGGUAACAGGUUAAGCUGACGAGUGGCGAACGGGUGAGUAAUGCAUCGGAACGUGCCCGAUCGUGGGGGAUAACGCAGCGAAAGCUGUGCUAAUACCGCAUACGAUCUGAGGAUGAAAGCGGGGGACCGUAAGGCCUCGCGCGAUCGGAGCGGCCGAUGUCAGAUUAGGUAGUUGGUGGGGUAAAGGCCCACCAAGCCGGCGAUCUGUAGCUGGUCUGAGAGGACGACCAGCCAAACUGGGACUGGGACACGGCCCAGACUCCUACGGGAGGCAGCAGUGGGGAAUUUUGGACAAUGGGCGAAAGCCUGAUCCAGCAAUGCCGCGUGCAGGAAGAAGGCCUUCGGGUUGUAAACUGCUUUUGUACGGAGCGAAAAGGUCCUUUCUAAUACAAGGGGCUCAUGACGGUACCGUAAGAAUAAGCACCGGCUAACUACGUGCCAGCCGCCGCGGUAA
This 493-nucleotide ribosomal RNA is filed under the name uncultured bacterium. Its description in RNAcentral is "partial 16S ribosomal RNA". It matches the Rfam family "Bacterial small subunit ribosomal RNA", at positions 29 to 523 of the family's 1533-position model. The record is from RNAcentral.